Molecule: long non-coding RNA, 1063 nt
Organism: Scleropages formosus (Asian bonytongue)
Lineage: Eukaryota; Metazoa; Chordata; Actinopteri; Osteoglossiformes; Osteoglossidae
Exons: 6
Source: RefSeq, a predicted model, not a curated record
UGUUGACAUUGUGUGUGUUGUGCAUGCGAAUUCACUGUAGGUUAUUUUUCAGGUGCGCGAUGGCAUAACACACAUCACCGACUGUCGUCAGGCAGACGUGCUCUUGCGCUAAUGGGAAAGAAGUACAAGAGGCCGUUGCGUCACAGACGACGGGCGAAACUGAGGAGAGGACGGUCCAGCUGGUGGCCGGACUUCCCAGAGCGCCGCCGUGGUUCUGGGGCCCUUGAACGAAGGCGCUGAUGAGAUGGCAAGAUGAGAUGACCGCAGCCGCUCGACGCCGACGGCUCCGUCCUGGGAGGGAAGUGGUUCCAUUUCCAUCCCAGCAGUUGGUCCGUCUCACCAAAUGGAGCUCGAGUGCCUAUGAGCCACUUUCAGAGGAACUUAAAACGCUCAGAAUUUCCACCCUAAGAUGUACCGGGGCUCAGCACUGUAACGUGUACAGCUUGGGACAGACAGACUUAGAAAUACUUGUCCUCUGGAGUGGACAAAAAUGAAUGGCUGCAUCUCAACCCUAAGGAACCAGAUUUUACCAAACCACUGCAAAUUAUUUAUUCUAAUCAGAGCCAAACUGUCUCUUGGAGGCCAAUGCUGGAAUCAUACUAAAACAGCAAUUUGUAAAGUGGCCUUUGACCACAUGGUCAUCCUGAAGAUGUGCAUCUGAAUUGAACAUCUGGAAGCAUCAGUGCUCAUCAUCAAUGCAAAGCUGUACAGCUGUGGCACCGUGGCGUCACCACCAUCACUCCAGGGCCUGGUCUUUGACAGACAAACACAGUCGCAGCCCCCGGGAAGAACGCUGCUGCCGAGGCACAACCAGUGACAACGCUCUCCAAGGACACACGAUGGAAGAAGGCAAUGAAUGGGAAACCCUUCUCCGUACCCUCCACCUACCAUGAAAACCGACCAAACAAAAGGAGUCAUCGCACCAUCAAUCUGAGAGGAGCUCUGCAGAAGGACUGGCUCUACGUAAGAAAACAGCAUGAAGAUUAUAAACUGCUUGAACCGAAGUUAUGUCUUUUGCUGGAACGGGACCUCGUUUGUGAUUUACUGUUCGAAAAGACUUCUU